RNAcentral lists this ribosomal RNA (440 nucleotides) under uncultured bacterium. RNAcentral's name for it is "partial 16S ribosomal RNA". It matches the Rfam family "Bacterial small subunit ribosomal RNA", at positions 338 to 795 of the family's 1533-position model. The record is from RNAcentral.
CCUACGGGAGGCAGCAGUGGGGAAUAUUGCACAAUGGGGGCAACUCUGAUGCAGCGACGCCGCGUGCGUGAAGACGUAAUUCGUUAUGUAAAGCUCUAUCAGCAGGGAAGAAAACGACGGUACCUGAGUAAGAAGCCCCGUCUAACUACGUGCCAGCAGCCGAGGUAAUACGUAGGGGGCAAGCGUUAUCCGGAUUUACUGGGUGUAAAGGGAGCGUAGGCGGCAGUGCAAGUCUGGAGUGAAAGGCGGGGGCUCAACCCCCGGACUGCUCUGGAAACUGUACGGCUGGAGUGCAGGAGAGGUAGGUGGAAUUCGUGGUGUAGCGGUGAAAUGCGUAGAUAUUAGGAGGAACACCAGUGGCGAAGGCGGCUUACUGGACUGUAACUGACGUUGAGGCUCGAAGGCGUGGGGAGCGAACAGGAUUAGAUACCCGUGUAGUC